ACUGUGGAGUGUACAUGAAUCUGCGAGUAGUAAAUCACUUAGUGAUUACCAAAGCAUACACAUUGAAGCAGUAA
Molecule: non-coding RNA, 74 nt
Filed under: unclassified sequences
Description: RAGATH-18 RNA
Rfam family: RAGATH-18 RNA
About the family: Actinobacteria, Firmicutes, Fusobacteria, Thermotogae (1 example).
Source: Rfam by way of RNAcentral